AAGUCGUAACAAGGUUUCCGUAGGUGAACCUGCGGAAGGAUCAUUAUUGAAUUAUGUUUUCUAGAUGGGUUGUAGCUGGCUCUUGGGAGCAUGUGCACGCCUGUUUAGACUUCAUUUUCAUCCACCUGUGCACCUUUUGUAGUCUUUGUUGGGUAAUGGAGGAAGUGGUCAGCCUUCUCAGCUCUCGCUGGAUAUGAGGACUUGCAGUGUGAAAGCAGUGCUGUCCGCUACUUGGCCAUGGAAUCUGUUUCCUGUCAGAGUCUAUGUCGAUCAUUAUACCCUAUAAACAGUUAUUGAAUGUUUUUACAUGGGCUUCUAUGCCUAUGAAAAUUGUAAUACAACUUUCAGCAACGGAUCUCUUGGCUCUC
This 368-nucleotide unclassified non-coding RNA is filed under the name Agaricus placomyces. RNAcentral describes it as "partial internal transcribed spacer region". The stretch from base 1 to 46 matches the Rfam family "Eukaryotic small subunit ribosomal RNA", at positions 1786 to 1831 of the family's 1831-position model. Lineage: Eukaryota; Fungi; Basidiomycota; Agaricomycetes; Agaricales; Agaricaceae. The record is from RNAcentral.